CAACUGCUACCGCCUCUCAGCACUGCUCCGAUAAAGGAGGAGGUAUAGGUGAGUACAGUUUUGUUCAUUUGUGUGUGUUUUUUAAUGCGAAAAGGUAUUUGAACUACGCAAAUGUUCGCAAUAUUCUGGGUUUAAUCUUCAUUUAUAUUUUAAUUAUUCUGAUAUUAUCUGACUGUGUCUCUUCCUAUUCGCUAUCACUUCUUCUUCCUCUUUCCCCCCUGAGUGAACUGCCUCCGUUUUGACGCAUGGAAACGUUUUUAAGUGGCAAAGAAGAAUUGAAUGAAAGAUGAUGCAUGCCACUUAAAAUGCCUGAGGGAGCAAGCGUAAUCUAAAUUGGAUAUAGAAGCUAUUAUUACACAACAUUAUGCGUUGUGGCGGACUAAUUGCGUGGCUGGGUGCGUUAAACAGUCAGUUAAUGUCGAGUGGCAGACAGGUUUCUGGAGCGCACAAGGUCAGCUGUACUGCUCCCAAGCCUUUAGUGGUAUACAGAAAAAUGCUUGAAGUAUUCAUGGGAUUUUUAACCAUUCUAAAUCUGUGUCCUAAACCGAUUAGUUGACACCAAUUUUUCUUUGAUGUAUUAGCUGAGGGCUUUUGCCACUUGGAAGCCAAUUGAAAUUCAAAACAGUUUUCGCUCCAAAUGCUGUGGGGAGAUCUGCUGCAAAUAAUGGAUGUAAUUUAUUUUUGACCUUGCUUUUUUCUUUUUUCUUUUUUUUUUUUUUCAAAAGGGAGGGUUGUUAAAUGAUUAAACAUAUGUGCACUAGCUCUCGACUAAACAACUAGCAUUUGAUUGGCUAUUAUUAGUUUUGCAUUAUAGAGCUGUAAAUUUCCAUAUUUCUUAAAGUGUUAUAUAAGUGAUAAACAUGACUAAAAUUGUUAUUGCUUUUUUUAAUGCCCAAUUCACUCUUAAAAAGUUGCUGUUCUUGGUGUUAUUUUUCCUAAAUGAAUUAAAAAAAUAAUAAUUGACUCUUUGUUUUUGUUUUUGAAUCCCAGAUCCAUGUUGAUGAAGUCACCAAGCAGUCAGUGAAAUGCACCCUAACCUUCAAACACACAAGCACACUUGCAAAUACACCUUAAGUUAAAUAACCUUUUUCACAUUUUGAAACGAUAAUUAAAAAACACAGGUGGAUAUAUACUCAAAAAGUCAGUUCUGUGUUUAUACACAGAACUGACUGUAAUAAUUUAUCAGUUUUUUAACUCUCUUAUAGUUUUUAAAUAUGCUGCAUUGCUGCUAUUCCCGGGUUUUUUAUUCGAGAUAGAAUCCCUUAAUGUUUUACUUAGUAUCACCACUUUUCCUCACACAAACUGAUGCCCAUGAUUCGAUGGGUUGAUUUGACUUUAAUAAUCAUACAAUUUACAUGAAGCACAAUAAUAUGGCUUUCAGGGGAGAGAAUCUAUUUUUUGAUCUCCUUUCUGUUCUUGUGAUCUCUUUUUCUUUUAUUGACCUGAAUGAAGAUGUAUGGAGUGAGAGUGUGUGUGUGUCUUCGGUUUCCUCCUGAUGGGGUAUAUCAGCUCCCCCCACUUCUCCCUACUCCCCACGAUCCCCGCAAGGCUGAAUGGCAGGCCUCUGGAUUGGCUAAGUGAUGAAAUGAUGACCCUAUUAUGGGAAGCGAUUCCAAAAUGAGAGAUAUCAGACGAAGAUUACACCCCUCUCUCACUGCCACGCCAUCCUCCUGCAAUACACUGCCAGCUGCGCAGAUGAUGAUUGAUUCGCUUGAGAUGGAUCACAGGAAGCACCCAUUGAUUUUUCUGUGUUUUAUCAAAAAUAUUUAUUUACAGUUGUAUCCAUAGGGUGUAUCCAGACUCAACCCAUACUUCGUUCUCCAAAUGGGGGUUGGUAUAAAAGAGAUAAUUCCCCCUGUUCCAUGACAAGACGAAUGACCUGAAGUAUUACUUCAGAAAUGAGUCAAUAGGCUCAGUGAGUAAAUGAAUAUUGAUUGGAUAUAAUGAAGCCUGAGUGUGAAUAUGAGCCCUGUUGCAGACUUCACUGCAGUGAUGCUGAACCUCUCCAACUGAAUAUUUUGCAGACCUGCAUGCACAGCUGGGACUAAAUACACCUCAUUCAGAUGGUGAAUCAACACACUCAACAUUCAACUUUUCCUGUGUAUUUUGAUUCAUGAUCUGAGAGUGUCCAUACUUGACUCGCUUCUUAUCAGAUCUAUGGCUAAAUAGCAUGUUUAUGGUGAAGGUACUAUAGGUGCCAUAUGGCAAUAAUCCAAGACUCAUGUUACUUAAAAGCUCUGGAGACAUGUAGGAGGCAUUUCUGUGUCACCUUUACAAAGGUAAACUGAUACAACAUACAAAUCAAAUGACAACUAGAAUGCUAAAACCACAGUGUGGGAGCUGUGCCCUAGAUAUUUGCACUGACUUAAUCCAAUUGAAAUAGUAUGAGUGAGUUGCAGGGGCUCCCAGGUCUGUUGCUUGCUUAUGUAUGUGAUGCAUAAUAGAAGUUGACGAGGUUGGUGAUAGAUCACAGCCCAGGUAAUGUAAACACAUUAAUCCCUCAGGGUUCAUGUGCAUGUUCUUUCUCUCCUUUUCUCUUAUAUCAGUUCCUCUCUCUCUAUCUGUCUUUCUCUUUCUCUCUCUUCAAGCCCCCAUCCUCCCCCCUCCACGUUCAUCAUCUUCCCUAAACGCGUUAGUGGAGCACAAACCAGAAGCAGCCUUAAUCUGUCAACAUGCCCUUUAAUUGGAGGGAGAAAACAACACGUGCUUCUGGUUAUGCCAUUCCUAAGUGCACAUGCCAAAGAAACACAGAGUUCAUGGAAGAAGUGAUCCCGGGAGAGCAGGGCAUAAUUAAAAGUAUCUUUUAAUAGGCUUGUAAUGCUGAGCCAGACUCUUGUUGCUUUAAGUAGAGGGCGAACUCUGUGGCUGGAGACGGACAUGCAAGGGGCUUCUGCUGAGGGAGCCUGUAAACGAUACAUUGCCUCGUCGUCAUCAGACAUGCAGUCUCUGCCUCAGUCACCACACUCGAGAUGACAGCCACUUUCCACCCCUGCCGCGGACACCUUGGCUUACCCGUUGCCGUGUUCUUUUGUUCUCAGAAUGAGAGAUUCUCCUCCACGACAUCACCUCUCCUCAUCUCCUUCCCAGCCACUUUGGCAAGUUGUGUUCUACCUCCUACUCACAGCACCAGCGGGGAGUGAGAACUGGGACUAAGAGGUUGAUUUGGGGCCUGCUACACUGUAAUCAAAUGAGACUGCUUAGGGGAGAGGAGAAGGAGGAGGUGGAGUAUUAUGUUCUGUCAUGCAUUCCACUGCAGCAUUGUUGCUUUUUUGUUUUUGUCAGGGCAGGCUUUGAUGCUGUAUCCUCUUACCUUUGUAGUCCCGGUAGCCAUGUUUCAUAAACACGGAAUGGGAAACAUCCUCAGCAUUAGAAAUUUAGAUUGCUGCUUUCCUCCUGCCACUCUGCAUUCCGCACGUGCCCGGUCGCAUUCUCCAUCUCCCAAUGCUGAGGUAUUAAGUUUCCUCUCCCAUGCCUCUGAUACAUUUAAACAUCUUACAAUCAGUCCCUUUUAUUCGGUGUGUCAUGUAUAAUCUGCGGAAACAACAAUGCCAACAUGGCUCUAUGUUGCUCUCGCUCUCUUGGUACUUAAGAAGUCUGCUGUCACUGUUUUGUUUCAGGACAAUUGCACUUGCAAAAUGCUUACUUGCUUUAAAUUGAGAAGUUGCUAGGUAUUCAAUUUAGAACUUGUCUUCAUUAUUAAGAAUGUAAUAUUAAUGUCAAGCUAUCUUUCUUUGUAUUUUCACAAAGGGAAUAGGCAGUGCAUGGUUGUCUUUGUAGUUAACCGAAAGUCUCAGUGGGAUAACAGUGUAUUAUAAUCCUUAAUCUAUCUUAACUCAUUAAAAUGCAGUGUUCAGUUCUGCUGGCCAAAUUUUAUUGUCUCGUUGCAUUUUUAGUGAUAUGAGAGAAAUUUCAUGUGUAAUUGAAUAUUUAAAUGUCAGACACUGACGAGAAUCAUUGCAAAGUCCUGAAAUUACUGCCACAUAUAGGUAUAUAAUAUACUUAAGAAAAAAAGUUAGAUAAGAUGCAAAUCUAUAUUUGUCAGCAGAAUCGUCCUCUGUAACACACUGUGCCUCAGUUCUCUCUUUUCUUCUACCUCUUCUUCUUCUUGGAAAGUAACCAUUUUGUCCGACAUCUGACACACUGCCCUGGGUUAUUGAGCCAGACGUGGAAAUCCAAAGCGGAGAUGCUCUCCUUAAUGCCUGACACCUGGUGCAGAUUUGGAAGGGAUUGCACUACAGGGUAUGCUUUACAAGUGGACGCUACUCUGGAGUGUUGCAGCUCACCUUACCGCUUGCAGUCACAUCUGCAGACUGUGCUGGAGCAGAAUGGCUAGCGAACAUAAACACAGCAAGGACAUCAAAGGCCGGCAGUCUUAUUUAUUGAUAUUAGUAAUGCAGCUGUCAUUCUGCAAUGAGAUCUGUCCUGUGUCUGGGUGAAUGCUGAUAAGAUGACACAAUGCAAAUAUGAAGUGUGAUGGAGCCGCCUUGGCAAGCAGGCUGCGUCCAGUUCUGUCACUGGUCCUUAGUGCUCCAGCAGCCUGGUCAAAAAGACAUCCUGGCAGGGUCCCAGGGUGGAUGCAUCGCCCACGCACGCUGCUCUUGCCAGAUCCCAGAAGUCUUUGUGGUGAACCACUGACCGUGCUGCUCCCUAUUUUCUUCCAACCCAGCAAAUAAUGUGUCAGAAAAAGAUUAUUGAUAGCCCAUAAAAGAAGAGGCAGAAUGUUGUUGCCACUCUGCUCCAACUUUAAGGAACAAUACAAGUGCUAAACCAUCAGUUUCAAUGGUGCACUGCUCCUGAAAGAGCACAGCAUUUAUUUUUCACAUUGUUGUUCAGUUUGAAUAAAAGGUGCUACAACUGGAACAUGAACAGACAACAAUUACUUCUAUUUUUUUUAAAUGCUGCUUCAUUUUCCUUUACAUUUGAAACCUUGUAGUGAAGUUGGCAACUUUGUACUGUGUCUAUUCAAAAGAAAAAUGAGAUCCCUCAAAAGAAACAUUGAAAUUUUCUCCAUGCUCUGUUGAGUCAUUCGCAUUUUUUGCCAACUUUACCAGACACUGGCGAAGCUGUUGCUCAUCUGGCCUAAAUGUGGCCUGAGUGGGUGAUUCUCAGACAGAUGAGGG
This is a long non-coding RNA of Astatotilapia calliptera (eastern happy), 5120 nucleotides long. Lineage: Eukaryota; Metazoa; Chordata; Actinopteri; Cichliformes; Cichlidae. The record is from Ensembl.